AAAGACAAGUUUACCGACCGUGCA
Molecule: non-coding RNA, 24 nt
Filed under: Arabidopsis thaliana (thale cress)
Lineage: Eukaryota; Viridiplantae; Streptophyta; Magnoliopsida; Brassicales; Brassicaceae
Source: RNAcentral